UCGUACAGAGUGGAGACAACCGCGGCGUCUGCUACGGCGUUGGCCACGCGAAUCGCGGACGCCGUAGUAUACGCCUUUGGGGGACGCCAUAGAGUUUCAUAUUAGUAUACCUAGAGGGAAAUCUGGCGCUGCGAUCGUUCAACCAUCAUGGGAAUGAACCUGAACAUCGCCCCCGAGUGCUCCGUGAUCGCUGCGCAUGCGUGAGGUGAGAGAAGGUGAGAAAGGAGAACAACUCUUUUUCGCAGGAUGUGACGUCACAUUGUUGCUUGUUUUUACUUUUUUGAAAGAGCUACUCUCGAACGUAGAUUAGCCAUUGCCGUCGUGUCGGCUGCAAGACGUUCUGAGCGCGCUUGGCGCGCUUUUGUGCGUGUCGAAAGCGUAUAACGUGCGCGAUAUUCGUGCGAGAGCUGUUUGACUUGAGCAAUCGUGGGUUUGGACUCCGUGACAUUUGCUUUCGUCAUAUGCGAGUUAGGGGCUUGCCGACAGGUAAACCGCCGCUGUACUUAGAUGAGUUGAGAUUUACACAUCAAUGCCAGCUCACAAAGCAU
Dermacentor andersoni is the source of this 548-nucleotide long non-coding RNA. RefSeq lists it as uncharacterized. NCBI's taxonomy places the organism in Eukaryota, Metazoa, Arthropoda, Arachnida, Ixodida, Ixodidae. The record is from RefSeq and is a predicted model, not a curated record.